Molecule: long non-coding RNA, 2540 nt
Organism: Oncorhynchus keta (chum salmon)
Lineage: Eukaryota; Metazoa; Chordata; Actinopteri; Salmoniformes; Salmonidae
Exons: 10
Source: RefSeq, a predicted model, not a curated record
AGGAGCUGGUCCUGCUGGCUGUCACCUACCCUGGAGGUAUCUAAUCUAAUCUAACCCUAACCAUACACAACACACUGGAGGAGCUGGUCCUGCUGGCUGUCACCUACCCUGGAGGUAUCUAAUCUAAUCUAACCCUAACCAUACACAACACACUGGAGGAGCUGGUCCUGCUGGCUGUCACCUACCGUGGAGGUAUCUAAUCUAACCCUAACCUAACUAUACACAACACACUGGAGGAGCUGGUCCUGCUGGCUGUCACCUACCGUGGAGGUAUCUAAUCUAACCCUAACCUAACUAUACACAACACACUGGAGGAGCUGGUCCUGCUGGCUGUCACCUACCCUGGAGGUAUCUAAUCUAACCCUAACCUAACCAUACACAACACACUGGAGGAGCUGGUCCUGCUGGCUGUCACCUACCCUGGAGGUAUCUAAUCUAACCCUAACCUAACUAUACACAACACACUGGAGGAGCUGGUCCUGCUGGCUGUCACCUACCCUGGAGGUAUCUAAUCUAACCCUAACCUAACCAUACACAACACACUGGAGGAGCUGGUCCUGCUGGCUGUCACCUACCGUGGAGGUAACUAAUCUAACCCUAACCUAACCAUACACAACACACUGGAGGAGCUGGUCCUGCUGGCUGUCACCUACUGUGGAGGUAUCUAAUCUAACCCUAACCUAACUAUACACAACACACUGGAGGAGCUGGUCCUGCUGGCUGUCACCUACCCUGGAGGUAUCUAAUCUAACCCUAACCUAACUAUACACAACACACUGGAGGAGCUGGUCCUGCUGGCUGUCACCUACCGUGGAGGUAUCUAAUCUAACCCUAACCUAACCAUACACAACACACUGGAGGAGCUGGUCCUGCUGGCUGUCACCUACCCUGGAGGUAUCUAAUCUAACCCUAACCUAACCACACCUAAUACAACACAACACACUGGAGGAGCUGGUCCUGCUGACUGUGACCUACCCUGGAGGUAUCUAAUCUAACCCUAACCUAACCAUACACAACACACUGGGGGAGCUGGUCCUGCUGGCUGUCACCUACCGUGGAGGUAUCUAAUCUAACCCUAACCUAACCAUACACAACACACUGGAGGAGCUGGUCCUGCUGGCUGUCACCUACCGUGGAGGUAUCUAAUCUAAUCUAACCCUAACCUAACCAUACACAACACACUGGAGGAGCUGGUCCUGCUGGCUGUGACCUACCCUGGAGGUAUCUAAUCUAACCCUAACCUAACCAUACACAACACACUGGAGGAGCUGGUCCUGCUGGCUGUCACCUACCGUGGAGGUAUCUAAUCUAACCCUAACCUAACCAUACACAACACACUGGGGGAGCUGGUCCUGCUGGCUGUCACCUACCAUGGAGGUAUCUAAUCUAACCCUAACCUAACCAUACACAACACACUGGAGGAGCUGGUCCUGCUGGUUGUCACCUACCCUGGAGGUAUCUAAUCUAACCCUAACCUUACCAUACACAACACACUGGAGGAGCUGGUCCUGCUGGUUGUCACCUACCCUGGAGGUAUCUAAUCUAAUCUAACCCUAACCUAACCAUACACAACACACUGGAGGAGCUGGUCCUGCUGGUUGUCACCUACCUAGGAGGUAUCUAAUCUAACCCUAACCUAACCAUACACAACACACUGGGGGAGCUGGUCCUGCUGGCUGUCACCUACCGUGGAGGUAUCUAAUCUAACCCUAACCUAACCAUACACAACACACUGGGGGAGCUGGUCCUGCUGGCUGUCACCUACCGUGGAGGUAUCUAAUCUAACCCUAACCUAACCAUACACAACACACUGGGGGAGCUGGUCCUGCUGGCUGUCACCUACCGUGGAGGUAUCUAAUCUAACCCUAACCUAACCAUACACAACACACUGGGGGAGCUGGUCCUGCUGGCUGUCACCUACCGUGGAGGUAUCUAAUCUAACCCUAACCUAACCAUACACAACACACUGGAGGAGCUGGUCCUGCUGGCUGUCACCUACCGUGGAGGUAUCUAAUCUAACCCUAACCUAACCAUACACAACACACUGGGGGAGCUGGUCCUGCUGGCUGUCACCUACCGUGGAGGUAUCUAAUCUAACCCUAACCUAACCAUACACAACACACUGGGGGAGCUGGUCCUGCUGGCUGUCACCUACCCUGGAGGUAUCUAAUCUAACCCUAACCUAACCAUACACAACACACUGGAGGAGCUGGUCCUGCUGGCUGUCACCUACCGUGGAGGUAUCUAAUCUAACCCUAACCUAACCAUACACAACACACUGGAGGAGCUGGUCCUGCUGGCUGUCACCUACCGUGGAGGUAUCUAAUCUAAUCUAACCCUAACCUAACCAUACACAACACACUGGAGGAGCUGGUCCUGCUGGUUGUCACCUACCUAGGAGGUAUCUAAUCUAAUCUAACCCUAACCAUACACAACACACUGGAGGAGCUGGUCCUGCUGGCUGUGACCUACCCUGGAGGUAUCUAAUCUAAUCUAACCCUAACCUAACCACACACAACACACUGGAGGAGCUGGUCCUG